Molecule: long non-coding RNA, 1097 nt
Filed under: Spirodela polyrhiza (greater duckweed)
Lineage: Eukaryota; Viridiplantae; Streptophyta; Magnoliopsida; Alismatales; Araceae
Description: long non-coding RNA (SPOL_LNC000875)
Source: RNAcentral
UUAACAGUAGCGUUUUAACUGGCAUCAUUGAAGCUAUUGCAUGAUUCUUAUGCUCUUAGUUUUGAACUAGAUCUCAAUAAAUUAUGCACUUAUUAUGUGGUCAAGGUUAAUGUAUUUUCAGAUUUGACAUUGCCUGUAAUAAAACAUAAAGAAGGAACCUAGGUCAGGGAAGACGUCUGAUCAUGUGCCCAGGGGGCAGGAGCUGUCAUAAUAAGAUUGAACAUUAUUAUCUUACAGGGAAGUUAGAGCGAAUACAUUUUCCCGGUUUAGUGAAGCGUUGGUAGAAUAUUAAGCUGAGUUUUUUGAUGUCAUCGUAUCCGCUGUAGUUAUUACAUGAGUGUAAGAAGAUAUCUCCCUUGAUAAUUUCAACUGAAAUUAUCCUAGUAUUUGGGUGAAAGUUGAUUACCUUUUGGCGUCAAAGACUGUACUGAUGUUCAAGCUUGAUUUUUCUAUGCCCUCCCUGGAGUCUAUCCAGUUUCUAUAUGGAGUUAGCCUUGACAUCUUAAGGAAAAAGAUAUUUCCGUCAGAAAACCUCUCUGAAUAGAUGGAUGCUUUAUCUGAAUCGAAAACCACCUAAAUCCAGACGAAAAAGAGGGAGUUAUUUUUCUUUUAAAUCAGAUAAAAACCUUGCUGGUUUAUAGGAUUAUGGCUGAUUGUCCCCCUCUGACUGAGAUGGGCAAUUUGAACUGUGUUUGAUUGCAUUAUCAUUGGGUCAGAAAACACAAGUAUAUCAUUCAGAGAUUGUCAUGACCUAACUGAGCUGGAUUGUGGGCUAAUUAGGAUGUAAUCCAUUACAAUCGAAUCAUCUGUUCUUCAGACCACACCACUUCCUCGUUAAAGAAAAGAAAGAGAAUUUCCCGUUGAUGCUGAGGAAUCAAUGGGAAAAAAGAAAUGAAGAGAAUAGGUGGGUCAACACGAGAAUAUACAUGGCUUUCAAAGCAUCACCUAGGUAACUAGGACAAAUUAAACAUCUGGCCCAAACAGCCUGUUCACAGAAGCCUCAUCACGAAUUUUUGUCAUUUGGCAAAAUUUACAUGUAAAAAUAUUUUCAAUUUGAAAACAGUCCAGAAAAAUUAGAUAUUUCAAAUGAUCAAACG